RNAcentral lists this ribosomal RNA (509 nucleotides) under uncultured bacterium. RNAcentral describes it as "bacterial SSU rRNA". It matches the Rfam family "Bacterial small subunit ribosomal RNA", at positions 18 to 518 of the family's 1533-position model. The record is from RNAcentral.
CAUGGCUCAGGAUGAACGCUAGCUACAGGCUUAACACAUGCAAGUCGAGGGGCAGCAUGUGGUGCUGCAACCAAUGAUGGCGACCGGCGCACGGGUGAGUAACGCGUAUCCAACCUUCCCCUUAGUAGAGGAUAGCCCGGCGAAAGUCGGAUUAAUACUCUAUGUUCUUCAAUGCGGACAUCUAAGUUGAAGCAAAGAUUUAUCGCUAAGGGAUGGGGAUGCGUCUGAUUAGGUUGCAGGCGGGGUAACGGCCCACCUGGCCUACGAUCAGUAGGGGUUCUGAGAGGAAGGUCCCCCACACUGGUACUGAGACACGGACCAGACUCCUACGGGAGGCAGCAGUGAGGAAUAUUGGUCAAUGGGCGCGAGCCUGAACCAGCCAAGUAGCGUGCAAGGACGACUGCCCUAUGGGUUGUAAACUGCUUUUAUCAGGGAAUAAAGUGAGGCACGCGUGCCUUUUUGUAUGUACCUGAUGAAUAAGGACCGGCUAAUUCCGUGCCAGCCGCCGC